UACGUAGGGGGCUAGCGUUGUCCGGAAUCAUUGGGCGUAAAGCGCGUGUAGGCGGUCCGGUAAGUCCGCUGUGAAAGUCGGGGGCUCAACCCUCGAAUGCCGGUGGAUACUGUCGGGCUAGAGUGCGGAAGAGGAGAGUGGAAUUCCCGGUGUAGCGGUGAAAUGCGCAGAUAUCGGGAAGAACACCCGUGGCGAAGGCGGCUCUCUGGGACGGUACUGACGCUGAGACGCGAAAGCGUGGGGAGCGAACAGG
RNAcentral lists this ribosomal RNA (253 nucleotides) under uncultured bacterium. RNAcentral's name for it is "partial 16S ribosomal RNA". It matches the Rfam family "Bacterial small subunit ribosomal RNA", at positions 524 to 776 of the family's 1533-position model. The record is from RNAcentral.